AGCGAACGCUGGCGGCAGGCUUAACACAUGCCAGUCGAGCGGACCUUUCGGGGUCAGCGGCGGACGGGUGAGUAACGCGUGGGAACGUGCCUUCCGGUUCGGAAUAACCCUGGGAAACUAGGGCUAAUACCGGAUACGCCCUUAUGGGGAAAGGUUUACUGCCGGAAGAUCGGCCCGCGUCUGAUUAGCUAGUUGGUGGGGUAACGGCCUACCAAGGCGACGAUCAGUAGCUGGUCUGAGAGGAUGAUCAGCCACACUGGGACUGAGACACGGCCCAGACUCCUACGGGAGGCAGCAGUGGGGAAUAUUGGACAAUGGGCGCAAGCCUGAUCCAGCCAUGCCGCGUGAGUGAUGAAGGCCUUAGGGUUGUAAAGCUCUUUUAUCCGGGACGAUAAUGACGGUACCGGAGGAAUAAGCCCCGACUAACUUCGUG
This 433-nucleotide ribosomal RNA is filed under the name uncultured bacterium. RNAcentral's name for it is "partial 16S ribosomal RNA". It matches the Rfam family "Bacterial small subunit ribosomal RNA", at positions 29 to 507 of the family's 1533-position model. The record is from RNAcentral.